GUCAAACAGACACCAAGAGGAAGGAAAACGCAAAGCCCGAGCGACAAAGAACGAAAAACAGCGAGAUCACCAUCACCGCUGUUCGCCCGGGCGGUGCCCCGACACCCGGGCGACAGACGCUCGACGCUUGGGAUCCAAUUCUAACGCCCAGGCCUUACAGAAGCCUCAAAUCUCGUCCAGGUGAGCUCCCUGCGAUGCCUAGGCGAUACAUCACCUGGAUCGGGCCCUGUUUCUGC
RNAcentral lists this long non-coding RNA (236 nucleotides) under Vigna radiata. RNAcentral's name for it is "long non-coding RNA (VRAD_LNC011603)". The record is from RNAcentral. Lineage: Eukaryota; Viridiplantae; Streptophyta; Magnoliopsida; Fabales; Fabaceae.